RNAcentral lists this unclassified non-coding RNA (272 nucleotides) under plant metagenome. Its description in RNAcentral is "partial contains small subunit ribosomal RNA, internal transcribed spacer 1, and 5.8S ribosomal RNA". The record is from RNAcentral.
UUUCCGUAGGUGAACCUGCGGAAGGAUCAUUAAUGUGUUGUCAUGGGGUUCGAUGCUGGCAGCCAGUUUUUGGAUGCAUGUGCUUGCCCUAACAAUCAUCUUCUUCCAAACACCUGUGCACAUUUUUGAGGGAGUCUUGAGUUGGUUGCCGCUCUUGGGUGAUUUUCUCACAUUCCCUUAAAUCAUUAUACGCUAUUAACAAUGUUGAACGUGCUCUGUGCCGCAAGGCCAUUAAUAUAAUACAACUUUUAACAACGGAUCUCUUGGCUCUC